GACGCGAAACGGCCAUAUGAAAAUUUUCAUUUCUCUGAAUCUGUGAGGAGAGGUGUCGCCAUCGACGUUGGCUGCUGGGGUUUGUGUUUGUCACCGUGUUCUCUUUUGAAUUGUGUAUUUCCCGAAGCGGUCGUCACCCUUCUCCGAAGUUGCAGCGGAGAUCCGUGCAAGUGCAGUGCGUUCCAUUAAAAAUUUGCUCGUUUAUCGCGUUUUCACGGAACGAGAAGCCGCGCGCCGUGUACACAACGAAAAAAUUCUGAAUGAAAAUUUCCUGUCGUGCGCCCGUGCCUCGCUCCCCCAGUGCGAGCGAUCGCGUCCAGUGUUUUCUUUUAUCGAUUCCCGAGGAAAAUUUGUUUGUUCUCGAGUUUCGCCGCGUUGUUGGUGUUUUUGAUGUGUUCUACUAAGGGAGAGGCGGGCGUCGCUUGUGGCGUGGAUUGGGGAAGGAAUUAGGUUGUCGGAAGUUCGAAAUACGGACUGGAUAAUCAGUGCCCACUCCCAGAGUCGGUCGGCGAUUCGCGUUCCAGGAGUUCUCGCUAGAAGGCCACCAUCGUCGAGCAACUCCACUGACUUUGACAGGAGCCCGGGUCACAGCUUGACGAUUGCCAAGGAGACAUUUGCCGCGAUUCUUGGGACAAAUUCGGUUUGGACCCAGUCCCGCUGAGCCCACUUGCAUCGGAACGUGAGUGCCGCCGACUCGACCAGUCGCUGACCGUUUUCCUACCACCAGUGCAGGGGCUCCCUAUUCAGGGCAUGUAUUUUCUACUUGCCCCUCCGCCCGCGACCGACGUUUUGAGCCCAUUCCAAUUGGAAAUUCAGUAGAAAGCGGAGUAAUUGUGGGCAACGUCAAUUGAAGCGUGAAAUCCAGUCGCAGGUGAAUCGCGAGUCGGGAAGAGUUACAUAAGGCGGGUGAAGGGAAGUGCGUGCGGAUCGGGUCGCGGAUUCACGGUGCCCGUGCGAACUUCGAACACGUUGCCUGCUCCUUAGCCCCGCGGGCAUGAACGGCUUGGCUCGCAGUUGAUUUGCGUUUUCUCUUGCGCCGUCCCAAAGUUCCGUUGUGCAAUCUACAGUUUCCGUGCGGCGAUUUGUCAAAUUUUCCAAAUUUCUCCGCUCGCAGAGCAACGGAACGAGCUUGUGUUUCGCGGUUUGCAUUCCUAAUUAAUCGCUAAUCCCAGAAGAAUUUAAGAAAGAUUCAAGUGCGGUGAGAAGAAAUACAUUGCAAAGAAACGAGUGCUGUCAAGUGUUACGUGUUCUAGUUUCGUCGUGUUUUUUUUUUAUCUUUAAUUGGUUACAGCUGCGGAAGCUAUUUCGUUGAGAGGAAGGCACAGGUUGCGGUUUUGGUUUCAACCGCUGUGCACGGUGAGCGAUCGCCAACCAAGGUGCUUGGACGCCUCCAGUUCCAGACCAGAUCCGCCGCCCACCUUCCAACCAGCCGUCGUGCAGUGCAUGUUAAAGUCAGCAAGUUGGGAACGACACCAGCCAGAACCACGAGAAGAACGUUGCCAGUGAAUUGCGAGUAAAUGCAGCCUUAUAUGGAGUAAAGAAAUUUUCCUUCUGAAGUUUGCUCGCAUCUAUAAAAAUGCAGAGCGUUGGUAACGGCAAUCGUGCCAUAGUUUACGAUGGUAAAAUAGCUGGUCUUUAUGAUUUAGAAGAAACAUUGGGAUCAGGCCAUUUUGCUGUUGUGAAACUUGCCAGACAUGUUUUCACCGGCGAAAAAGUAGCUGUUAAAGUAAUCGAUAAGACUAAAUUGGAUGAAGUAUCUAGGGCACAUUUAUUUCAAGAAGUUCGAUGCAUGAAGCUAGUGCAACAUCCAAAUGUGGUUCGACUCUAUGAAGUUAUAGACACACAAACCAAACUCUACUUAAUAUUAGAAUUAGGCGAUGGGGGUGACCUUUAUGAUUACAUUAUGAAACAUGAAGGCGGUCUAUCUGAAAAUUUAGCUAGAGAAUAUUUUAGGCAAAUUGUGCGGGCAAUAUCGUACUGUCAUCAGCUACAUGUUGUACACAGGGAUCUCAAGCCCGAAAACGUUGUGUUUUUUGAAAAACUAGGUGUAGUUAAAUUGACUGAUUUCGGUUUUAGUAAUAAAUUCUGUCCCGGCCAAAAAUUAGAAACAUCAUGCGGUAGUUUAGCAUAUUCAGCACCUGAAAUUCUCCUCGGUGAUUCUUAUGAUGCACCGGCUGUUGAUGUCUGGUCACUAGGCGUAAUUCUAUAUAUGCUUGUUUGUGGUACUCCACCAUUCGAGAAAGCCAAUGAUUCGGAAACGCUUACAAUGAUUAUGGACUGCAAAUACACAAUGCCAUCGCAUGUGUCGGUUGGUUGUCGCGAUCUGAUAGCAGCUAUGCUUGUUCGUGAACCUGAGAAACGCGCCACCUUGCAAGCAAUCGCCCAAAACAGCUGGUUAACGCAAGGUGCUCAAGAUACUGUGCCCGAAUAUUUGCCACUUGUGAGUCGUCAACAAGUUAGUGAUGAAGAUCAUACGCUUAUUAUUCAAAAGAUGGUGAAUGGUAACAUAGCUACCAAAGAGGAGAUUCUAGAUGCCUUAGAUCGAAAUGAAUAUAAUCACAUCACUGCUACGUAUUUCCUCCUUGCCGAACGUAAACUUCGACAACAGCGACAAGAUCAAAUUCAAAAACGUCGUCCAGAAUUGUCCUUGCCCGUAUCGUCCACGUCCAGAUUAUCACCGCGCACUCGAACUGCAGCAAACAGUACUGAUCGAGAAUCGUCGGGAGAUAGUCGAAAUCAUUUAUUAGUACCUAGCAAUAAUCAACUUACUCCAAGAACGCCUGGUGCGGAAUCGACUGCUGGCGGUCGAAGCCGAAAAUGUAGUAUUGUGCAAGAGGAGGACGACGAAGACGAAAUACCAAGUUCGAAUCGCGAUGAGCUUCAAACGCCACUAAAUAGACGAGGUUCUCGUUCGGAAGGUCGUAUAAAUUUAGCUAUACAAGAUCGCGUCCCUGAAGCAGAAAGAUUAAAAAAGGAGUCAACGAAUGCUCCAACUAAUUCAUCAUCAACAAAAGCCAAUUUAGAGACUGGAACAAACGUAGAAUAUCUUAGCGGUGCGACCGGUGGUCUGAAACCAAUCAAUAAGGAUCUAAUCAAUAUGAGAAACCGUCUAGGAGGCGUAAGCGGCGGAAUAUCUAGAAAAUUAGUAGAAAAUAAUAGAUGUAAGGAACAGCUACUAUUGAAUAGUAGUUCAAAUAAUUGUAGUAAUAACAAUAGUAAAUUAAAUGAUAUCGGACAGAGAUCUAAUUCAGUAGAUCACCAAAAUAUCGAGACUGAACAACAUCAUCGUGCAGAUGUGACGCAAACCAAAUUUCUAGUCGAUUCGUCGACUAUCACAAUUCCCAUAAGUUCGGCGACAUCACAAACCUCGUCGUGUACAAACGCAAUUCCAAAAUAUAAAACAAUGCCAUCGCCAACGAGACCAAAUGCAAUAUUAACAGGAGGAGCACGUGCUCUCAAUGAGAUUUUCGAGGAGGGUACAGAUAUUGGUUCCUCCGAUAGUGCAACUACAACACCCCGUCCAGUUGUUCGAAGUUCACACUUCACGAGCAAUCGGGCAAAUCAGAGUAAUCCGACUACACAACGGCGAUCAAAAUUCCACAAGAGUCGAACACCAUCGUGUAGUAGUUCGGAUGCAUCCGAUGAUGACUCGGAAUCACGAAAAAAGCGUGUUCACAAAAUUAACGUAAAUGAUGUAUCAAAACCGCUUCAGAGCCAGCGUCGUGAUUCACACGACGAUUCAAGCGAUUCUCAAGAUCAGGGAACGGCUGCUGCUUCAGGGGGAAAUGGUUCGUCGUCGGGUAUGUACCUUCUUCCGGCCGCGACGACGACUACAACUGGUGAUCGUACCGGAUCGACUACGACCCAUACAACAAACCAAAAUUCUAAUUGUGCAACCCAUGGACGUCAAAAGACUGAUCAGCCUCCAAUCGUUUUCCGGCGGCAUCGGGCCGGACGACGAAGGGCGGGCGAGACUCGCUUACGGGAGAGCCAAUCGCUGAACCGUAUAACCGAAGUUCAAGAGUCAGAAUUACCGCCAGUUAGUAAUUCCACUUCCAGCCAGUUGCAUAGCAGCAACAACAAUAAUAACAACAUGAGCAAUAACAGCCACAGUGCAAUGAAUAGCAGCAUGCCGGCGUCGAUGAUGCAAGCGGCAACUCAUGUAAAUUGCCACCAAAAACCAAAGGGAAUAAGUGCACGUCUGUUCCACGGAUUUAUCAAGAAAGCCGAUGUCAUUCAAACACCAUUGCAUGAUAGCACGAGUACGGUUACGAUAUCGCCUGAUCCUGGGUCAAAUGACGAGGUUGAUAUGGUGUUGGGAAUGGAUUUCACGAAGAACUCUCUGCGUGUGAACGAAUCAAAAAGUUCAUCGGCUACGAAGAAGUUAAAGAUGCUUGGCCGAUACUUUCAGCGAAACCGAAGAGAAUUAUGUGAUUACUUGUGCAAAGUUCUACAAGAGUUAACGCUUCGGAGUCUAAAAUAUUAGAAUCUAUUCCAAAAGUGUCUUUUGAGAGGAAAGGAAAGUGAUGCAGAAUCCGAUAGAAAACUUUGGGUUCAUAAAAAAAUCUGCAUUCCUCUACCAGGCUUAUUUCAACGCGGUCGGCUUUACAAGGCUCAAUCGUGUGGAUCCAUUGUGCGAGACAAAGUGAAUCAUAACAUCCAUAGUAACGCGCCACCGAACACAAC
RNAcentral lists this unclassified non-coding RNA (4686 nucleotides) under Hermetia illucens (black soldier fly). Its description in RNAcentral is "serine/threonine-protein kinase MARK2, transcript variant X3". Lineage: Eukaryota; Metazoa; Arthropoda; Insecta; Diptera; Stratiomyidae. The record is from RNAcentral.